RNAcentral lists this ribosomal RNA (426 nucleotides) under uncultured bacterium. RNAcentral's name for it is "bacterial SSU rRNA". It matches the Rfam family "Bacterial small subunit ribosomal RNA", at positions 355 to 774 of the family's 1533-position model. The record is from RNAcentral.
UGGGGAAUUUUGGACAAUGGGCGCAAGCCUGAUCCAGCCAUGCCGCGUGCAGGAUGAAGGCCUUCGGGUUGUAAACUGCUUUUGUACGGAACGAAAAGGUGCCUUCUAAUAAAGGGCGCUCAUGACGGUACCGUAAGAAUAAGCACCGGCUAACUACGUGCCAGCAGCCGCGGUAAUACGUAGGGUGCGAGCGUUAAUCGGAAUUACUGGGCGUAAAGCGUGCGCAGGCGGUUUUGUAAGACAGAGGUGAAAUCCCCGGGCUCAACCUGGGAACUGCCUUUGUGACUGCAAGGCUGGAGUGCGGCAGAGGGGGAUGGAAUUCCGCGUGUAGCAGUGAAAUGCGUAGAUAUGCGGAGGAACACCGAUGGCGAAGGCAAUCCCCUGGCCUGCACUGACGCUCAUGCACGAAAGCGUGGGGAGCAAACA